CCGAGAAUCCUUCUCAUCCUCGUGAUCUCCCCGACGUGGAGAGCCCGUGGACGCGUAGAAGGUGCUGUGAUUUCGAGUCUCGCCGAAUCCUAGCAACCCUUUUCUCCGGUUGUAAGUCCAAGAACGCUCGAUAAAGGAAAGGAAAAGAUUUAGCAAGGAAGGCGACAAGGUGGUGGUGAUGAAGGUGUGUGAUGACUGGACUAUGGAGAGAUCCAGAGUUUGCUAGCAUAUGUUCAGGAUUUACCUGUUUAGAGUCUCAGUUUAUGUUCUAGUUCUCUUUAAAUGUUAUUAUGAGUUGAGAUUGUAAUUAAGUUUAUUCCGCACUUGUAGUUGGGUCCUAUUGUUGGAGUGAUAUAGUUGUUUGCUAUUGUUAGAGUAGUUCCUUCUUUUUA
Molecule: long non-coding RNA, 392 nt
Organism: Zingiber officinale
Lineage: Eukaryota; Viridiplantae; Streptophyta; Magnoliopsida; Zingiberales; Zingiberaceae
Exons: 2
Source: RefSeq, a predicted model, not a curated record